GAGGGUAUAGCUCAGUGGUAGAGUGCGUGCUUAGCAUGCACGAGGUCCUGAGCUUAACCCCCAGUACCAUCA
Molecule: transfer RNA, 72 nt
Filed under: Camelus bactrianus (Bactrian camel)
Lineage: Eukaryota; Metazoa; Chordata; Mammalia; Artiodactyla; Camelidae
Also listed under: 2 other names
Rfam family: tRNA
About the family: Transfer RNA (tRNA) molecules are approximately 80 nucleotides in length. Their secondary structure includes four short double-helical elements and three loops (D, anti-codon, and T loops).
Source: Rfam by way of RNAcentral